UGCCAGACUCCUACGAGAGGCAGCAGUGAGGAAUAUUGGUCAAUGGGAGAGAUCCUGAACCAGCCAAGCCGCGUGAGGGAAGACGGCCCUAUGGGUUGUAAACCUCUUUUGUCGGAGAACAAAACCCGGGACGUGUCCCGGACUGCGUGUAUCCGAAGAAAAAGCAUCGGCUAACUCCGUGCCAGCAGCCGCGGUAAUACGGAGGAUGCGAGCGUUAUCCGGAUUUAUUGGGUUUAAAGGGUGCGUAGGCGGUCCGUUAAGUCAGCGGUAAAAUUGCGGGGCUCAACCCCGUCGAGCCGUUGAAACUGGGGAUCUAGAGUGUGCGAGAGGUAUGCGGAAUGCGUGGUGUAGCGGUGAAAUGCAUAGAUAUCACGCAGAACCCCGAUUGCGAAGGCAGCAUACCGGUGCACAACUGGCGCUCAGGCACGAAAGCGUGGGUAUCGAACAGGAUUAGAUACCCUGGUAA
Molecule: ribosomal RNA, 466 nt
Filed under: uncultured bacterium
Lineage: Bacteria
Description: bacterial SSU rRNA
Rfam family: Bacterial small subunit ribosomal RNA
Source: RNAcentral